UACGUAGGUGGCAAGCGUUGUCCGGAAUUAUUGGGCGUAAAGCGCGCGCAGGCGGCCUCUUAAGUCUGAUGUGAAAGCCCCCGGCUCAACCGGGGAGGGCCAUUGGAAACUGGGAGGCUUGAGUAUAGGAGAGAAGAGUGGAAUUCCACGUGUAGCGGUGAAAUGCGUAGAGAUGUGGAGGAACACCAGUGGCGAAGGCGACUCUUUGGCCUAUAACUGACGCUGAGGCGCGAAAGCGUGGGGAGCAAACAGGAUUAGAAACCCCCGUAGUCC
Molecule: ribosomal RNA, 273 nt
Filed under: uncultured bacterium
Lineage: Bacteria
Description: partial 16S ribosomal RNA
Rfam family: Bacterial small subunit ribosomal RNA
Source: RNAcentral